This 22637-nucleotide long non-coding RNA is filed under the name Brachypodium distachyon (stiff brome). RNAcentral describes it as "long non-coding RNA (BDIS_LNC005089)". The record is from RNAcentral. Lineage: Eukaryota; Viridiplantae; Streptophyta; Magnoliopsida; Poales; Poaceae.
GGUUAUUAAUCACGCGGGGGCACGAUCAACCUAACCACGAAGGUCUUUGUUCCUGCAAGCAAUCGAAGACCAAGCAAGAACAAGAUACAUAGUGGAUGCAAUCUAAAAUUGCGAAUAUACUAUAUCAAACCAAUGUCUCAACGAGACGAUAAGUUGGGGUUCCGAAAGCGGUAAAACAGGUGGUCUAACUGACACACGCGAUUACAUGAAGUAGUACCGAUGGCUAACUUUUAACUAAACAAAACCCAAGGCUCCUUAGGGGGGCUCAUGGGGUAUAUAAAGGAGGAGGGAGAGAUAUUUUCGUCCACCUUGAGUAAGGAGGCGGAAAUCCAACUCUAUCUCUAACUUUCCUAACAAACUACAACUCUUUAGGAAACAGGAAAACAGAUCCGUCAACUUGUUUUGUCCGCCACGGUCAGCACGAGUCGAAUCUCUUGAUGGGGCAAGAUCCGUUGGAAAGGUCUUGUAAUUACCUUUCCAACAAGUACUUGUUUGUUUUAUUUGGACUCCGGAUGCGGCCUGGGUGAUUAAAACAAAUUCGGCUCUCCUGACAGCUCGGACCCGAAUCAGAUUCAACUUUAAUUCAUGAUAUCUUUCUCUGGCAAGCUCCGAAUCAUGUGCUGUUUGAUUUGUUGGAAAGUACACUUGAAAUCCUUCCCUCUCAAUUGUAUGAAUGCUUGAUUCUUGUUGGCCCUCCCGUUCGCCUCCAUCGUAUCUCAUCUUGACCUUGGACUUGAAAAGUUCAAUAAGAUGCCUACGUAAUAAAACGAGACAAGAUAGUAGUAGCUCCGCCUCUUCAUAAAUAUGACAAUGAAAACAAUUACUAUUUAAAUUCACCUGAUUAUAAAUCUUGUCAAAUAUUAUAGAAUUGAGGGUACCAAAGGUCGUAUCCAUGGUUAGCAUGUCCAUAUCAAACGUUCUCUAGGACUAUCAGAUCUCAGAUCCAACGGUGUAAACAAUACUGAUGAUGUGGAUCAACGUGGUGCCUCCCCUCGGUACCCCUCAUAUUGCUUUUAGUAUAUAAUAGAUUUUAACCUUCACGGGCGGGAAAACUAAAUCGAUGAUCGAUGCAAUUAUGGUAACUAUGACCUGAAAUCUGGGUAACUACAUCGGUAUUGUUGUGGUAAUUGUAACCUUAAUAGUUGGGUAAGUACAUCAGUGACAUGGUGAUAACUGUAGAAAGGACGCUUGGGUAACUAUAAUUAUUUACUUUAACACAUGGGUAACUACAGCAUUGCUACCACCUACCAAGUAGUGAGGACAUCCACUCCAAAUUCACUAAGCACGAAAUAGAGACGAUAUGAGUUGUUGUGGCCAUCGAACACCUUAGGCAUGUGUAGUAUGAGUGACAUUUCUUCUUGGGAUCCAGCAAACUACACAUGGCAACAAAGAGAACCUUGACAUAAUUGCGCACUAUGGAUUCCAUUGCCAGAACACACACUCGUCACAAGAUCUAUUCUGAGCUCGGUAACAAAUAGGCUUGACAUUUUAGAUUCAAUCAAAUUUUAUUGGCAAAAAUGGAAUAAGAAGAAUAUAGUGAUAGCUACCGAUUCGCAGUAUUCAAAUAUACUAAUCAAACCAUGGAUAGUUUGUGAUUUUCUUUGUAUAACCUAAUUCGACAGAAAUAAUAUACCUGAAGCUGAAGCUCUCAUGUUGCACUCGGCUACUCAAGUGUGAGAUUUGCAUAUCAAGCGAACACCUACUUGCUUUGCCACCAGCCCCCCACACGUCCUAUCACGAGUGCUGCCACCUCCUUUUUGCAGCCUCGCAUGUUCUCCAUCUUGGCUUCCAUGGUUGCCGCGUCAUGCUCACUGGAUAUCCUCCUGGGAAGAGUGCAUGGCAUCUUCAAUCAUGUAGAAAGUCCACUAUCUCUUGGCCUAGCUGAAAGCAUGACCCUAUAGUGCAACACAAACAUUAAUCUCAAUGAGCAUUAGGUGCUGACCACAGUGCAUAGAUGUAAGUGUUUGAGCCAUGUGCAUGCACUCAAGUACGGAAUCGUGACUUCGCAGCACACUAAAGUCAUGAGAAUGAAUGAGAAAUACUCCUAGUCAGUUGGUAAUUUCAUCAAACACCUUAAGGGCGCAUGACACCUCUACAUGGAUCCCUCACCUGAUGCUCCUUGGACCCGGGCCGCGUGAUUCCUGGACUCGCUCCUAGUUGCAGUUCUUCCCCGGCGCCACCACACGCACCUCAGCCUGGCCCCCUAGUUGCAGUUCUGCCCCGGCGCCACCUCACGCACCUCAGCCUGGCCCUCGCUUGCAGAGCCGGAGCGGUGACCGGGGUCGAUGCCGAUGUACCGGUGCAGGUUCGGGUCACCAUCGUCUCCGGCCUCCUCACCUCCACCUGGAGAAAGGCCUCGGGAUCUUCGGCGACGGCCGCCACAUACUCAGCUUCCGCGUCAUCGACGGCGAGCAACGUCUCCAUAAUUACAACUCCUCGUCACCUCUGUCGUGGCCUCGUCGGUUACGAUCAAACACCACCAGCAGCCGCGACGCCCCUCUUCUAUCGCGUCCAAGCCCUACCGUUGCCGAGCAGGGACGUAAGAAAGGCAUAGAAAGCUGCUGGCCUGCUGCUUCCUUGCCGUGGUGCUCUCGGUUCAUCGUAGAUUUGGAUGGGGCACCGGAGAGACAGAGACGGAGAGAGGGACACAGACAGACCUAAAUAAACCGAACAUGGGCCCCAAGUAUGUAAAAAGGUCCAGCCAGCCAGCCCAACUAUCAAUGGCUAACCAGAAAAAUAGCCCAGCCCAACCCGCACUACCAAGGCCCACCUAAUCGAUCUGGUCGGGAGUUCCAGCCCAGAAAAACAGCCCAGCCUCCACGCCUCCAGGCUAGUACGCCACGACGGGAGUUCCCGAUCCAUCGGUUUACUCGGUCGGAACCAAAAGCGGACCGAAAAAUCCAUGGACCAAAGCGUCGGUUAGCGACUUUUGAAACCGAUCGAUCAGCGAUUCUAGAAACCGAACUUUUUAGAAACCCGGGAAAUUAGCCGAACAGAUCUUUUCGGUUAGACCGCGAAUGCCUAGACUGUGAGGGUUUGAGACCGUUUGCUCCAGCUGGCAGCUUGUUGAAUGAAACAUUCCAUUCUUGAAAAUACGUGCUUUGACCUUAGGUCCUUCACCUCCGGUCUUCAGUUCACUACGUGACAUAUCGAAAAUAUGAUCUCCACGCCAAGUUCAAGUUCAGUAUAAUCCGUCAAAAACGUCUUGUCAGUCCUCGAUCGGCUGCCAUUGUCGUGGAAAUUUCAGGUUUUACCGGCCGGUCCAUGGUCUCGUCAGUCGUCACGAGACGGAACGAUGAAUCGGUCGAGCUGCAUGCUACGUACCUUUGCUAUAAGUAGAGAUCACCACAUCCUUCAGCUUUCCAUGCACCAGCAGUACACAGUAGUCUAGAUCUUCUCGAGAUCAACACGCAACAGCUACACUACACUUUGCGAAUUAUUUGUGUCCCAUCUCCCUCUUGACCGGCCGGUUAAUUAAGAGAUCGAUGAUGCUGAAGGGAGGAAGAAAGGGAGCGAAUGCAGUGGUGGCGGGGCUGCUGCUGCUUCUGCUCGUGACGGCGUCGCUGCAUGCCGGCGUCGUCGUGGAAGCGCGCCGCCUGGGAACGGAUGGCCGUGAGCCGCCUGUUUCAGCCAGCAUGGCCUCGUUAUUACCGCCGCGUUCUGACUGCACCCACAAUCCUACCGGCCCACCAAGCGGGGUUUGCCCUCCAAAGUCGCCGUAGCUUUUUUGGCUGGCUUGCAUAUGCGUUGCGUGGAGCCCAGUAUAUAUAUAAACAGAGAUAUAUUGUCAUGCAUUCGUCAGUAAAAUAAGGUAGGGUUGAGUUUUGCAUGGCGCCGAUGAUGCACACUUAAGCUGGGCAUGUUGUAAUUUCUGUUCUGUUAGUUAAGUCAGAAUAGUUGUUAACACAGUAGCAUUACAUUUUGUUUCCAUAAACCUGUUUCAGAGUAAUAAAUAAAGAACGCGUCGACUAUUGAUUUGUUCACCGUCUGGCUUUUAAUUCUUUAUUCUUGCGCGAAUGAAAAAUUAGUGCAGCGGGUUCCGUACACCAGGGCUACGUUAGCUAAUCCUGCCCACGGGUACAUACGCUCCACCUUCUGGUUGCAUAAGCAUAACAAAGGAUGGUAUUUGAAUUUAGUUCACGUGUUUACGCUUGUUUGUAUAUCGAGGGAGCGCGGCUUAAUGUUGGUGGAGAAUCCUACGCGCCAGGGUGCCUUCAUGGGGUAGGUGGCCGGGCGCGAGCGGGCGUGUCUCCACCUCACGGCAGCCGCAGCACGGCGGCGACGGGCUCGGGCAGCGGCGGCCGGCUCGCAGGGGGCAGCAGCCGGGCGGCGCGUGGCAGCAACAGCAGGUGGGCGGCGGCGCGCCGGCUCGCGGGGUAGCAGCAGAAGGCGGGCGGCGGCGGCCUGCGCGCGGAGCCAUGCGCGGGGCAGCCGCGGCGGCGAUAGGGGCAGCGGCCUCGGGCGAGCUCAGAUGCUAUAGGGGCAGCGUCUUCGGGCGAGCGCAGCGACGGCGACGGCGGGCGAGCAGCAGCAGGCAGCAGCGCAGCGGGCGCGCGCAGCAGCUGCGGCGGCGCCUGCCGGCAGUGAGAGCAGCAACAGCAGCUGAAAGCAAGUCACAGAGGAACUGUUGAAUCUGACCAAUUUUAAGUUUUCUUAAAAAAGAAAAACUGAAGACAGUCAUAAUACUUCAACUACACAGAUUUUACUUACCAAAUUUUAGAGUUGCAGCGGAGCAAAGAUGAACAAGUUUAGCAGUAGCAGUGAAGAUAAUAACAAUAAGAACAGUUGUACAUCAACAGAGAGUAUAAGAUUGAGAAACGAUAUCACCAGAACACGAAGACACAGGGAUUUGUUUUCCGAAGUUCAGAUUGUUGGCACAAUUCUACGUCUCCGUUGAGUGGGCUGAGUCACACAAGACUCGCAGACACACAAGUCCACCCAAUCCUCCUGAGCUAAGACUGAAGUCUCGCCCAGUUACUCGUGGUAGAUCUUGAGGUGAUCUCCGGACCUUCACAGACUGGUUGAUGGCCAAUCACAAUCUUCGAUUGCUCUUCAACACUGACUCCUAGCCGUCUAGGUGAUGCCAAUCACCAAGAGUAACAAGCUUCAAGUGCUCGGCUAGAGAGGGAAUCCCAUUCUUCACGCUCAGUUCAGCUCUAAGGGUUUUAUCAGGUGUUCUUCAAAACAACUCACUCGGGAUCACCACCGAAUUCCUUCGGGGUGGGUCGUCUUAUAUAGCCUUGGCCACGGCUGAUCUAGCCGUUAUGAUCCGUUAGAUAAAGUGAACUUUGAGCCUCCAGCUCACACUUUAUCACUUUGUCUCACAACGGUUAGAUUAGGUGGUCAAGCACGAAAGCGACAGAUUUUCAAACACAUUUGAACUCAGAGUGAAGACUUCACGCGGAAAUUUCUAUGAGGCCUGAAAUGCUUCAUUCUUCACUCCGACAAAAAACACACACUGAAAAUGGUUUUUGCCUAAGCUGAACAUGAAGAAUAAGAUUUCAUCUAAACCAGCUCCACACUUUAAAACCCCCUUAAUAGUACGGUGUUCCUAUAUUCUAGUGAAGAAAAAGCUACGGAAAAACUUAUGAAGAAAGCUACACUUCACAUUCUACUCCGUUCUUCACUACGUUCUUCGUACCUCAAGCCAGUACCUGUACUUCAAUUUUUAGGGGUCGUCGAUGCUGGCUAAACCAACUCUUCUGAGGAACUAAAACCUGAAACACUCCGUGUAACUCAUUAGUUCCUCAACCAUGUUGUCAUCAUUCAUCAAAACCCAUACAGGGGCAAGGUUUCCCUUUCAGCAGCGGCGGGGGAGGCCGGCGGCGAGAGUACCAGCAGCCGCGAGCGAAGGUGGCCUAUUUUUUUUAAUUCUCCGAUUUUCUUUGCUGGAGGAUUUGUUUGGCUUACGGCAAAGAAAUUGGCCUGUCGUUUUGUUCGCGUGCUAUUUGGCCGUCGGCAAAGACUUUGCCAAAGGCAAUGUAAAAAGGCCGCCGGCAAAGAUGCUUUUACCGGCUGGUCUCUGCCGACGGCCUUUGCCGGCGGCCCCGAUUCUUUGCCUUUGCCGGCGGGGGUGGGGGGGUGGGGGGUGGGGGAGGCUAUUGUCUCUUUGCCGACAGCUUUUGGCCGCUGGCAACACGAGUUUUUCCAGUAGUGUGAGGCCUCCAACCUCGCCUUCGAAGAGACGCUCAAGAAAAUUUUGUCGGAGAAGGAGGUGGGAAGGGAGAAGAACCAACAAAUAAUGGAGCAGCAAAUGAAUAACUACCUCGAUCUUCAAAAAAGUAAGCUCGCCAUCAAGAGCCAAUGUGAAGGCAAGAGCCAAGGAAGCCGAGGCUGCUCUACUCGCCAAGGAGACACAGAUCAGGACGGCCGACUUGAACCUCCUGGACCAGGGACGGAAGCUUGGUUCGAGUCCAGGCGGAAGAUGAUACAAGAUUGAGAUGCGCCCUCUCGCUAUCUAGUUGAUCGCCCGCAUGUGGUCCCAGUUUGUUUGUUUUUUGUAAUGUACAAUUCUUUUCAUGUCUGAUGGUGAGGCGUAAAACGUUGAUAUGUUUCUUUUGCUAAUUUGGCUAUUUUGUGGCCUCAAUUGUUUGCUUACAAUGGCCUGGAGGCCACAAAAUAGGGGAGCGGCCAAAAACAGGGGAGCCAUUUGAAUUCGAGCACCAAGUAUGGGUCGCCCCGAAACGGGUUGCGCCGCUGGGGAGAUGGGCGACCCAAGCGGACUGAGGCCAGACACGGAAGCAAUUCUCGUCCGGCCCGGGACCCAAACGGACUGAAACGGACGCAAAAGGCGUCCGAAAUGGGUCGCCCCGCUGGAGUUGCCCUAACAGGCUAGGUUAGGUACGACGCUAAUGUGGCAAGUAAAUAGGCAUUCUAGCCACGUGGAUUUUUGCACGUGGGCGAUGGGUCAUACAUGUCAGGUUGAACGCACUAAGCCGGUAAAUUAAGGUUUUUGAGAAGACCUAUCUUAAGAGUUAAGUAUGGCCUCAUAAAAUUUAGCCACAUUUUUUUUAAAAAAAUAGCCAUGUCUUCCAUUAAACAACAAUGUUACAACGCAUGCGCGCGCGCACACACGGAUACCAAACAACACCAUGAGAAAGACAUAUGUCACGAAGAUUUGUAUAAACGAAUCUCCAAUAACAAGGUUACAAUAUUCCCCGCGCGCCAUGCUGUCAUUGAAGAAGGAAAGAGGGCAAUCGAUAGUCACAUAUCUAUUGGAGCACCAUAGCAGAAAACACUGCUUUUUGAACCGAUGAGCUGGACCAGGACCGCCGCAGUUGGCGCAACCGAGGCUUUGUGUCACGUCACCCGGGGAUCUUCCCCAUUUCCACCUGAACCCAGUGCCGCUAUCUUCAUGCACCGCAAUUGACAGCCGCCAUCUCCUCCCACUCAAUGGCUACGGCAGCCGGCUGAGCCCACCCCACGUACCCCAGCAUACCCACCUACGCCCCAACCCAAGCUCGCCGCCGCCCCUCACUCCCUCUUCCGCAAGGUCGUGGUCGCCCCGUCGCUGCACUUCCGAGAGUUGCGUUCAUGGCGACUUGAUUUUUUUUAGUCUUUUACAGAGCUGAUGGCAAGCUUCUCUGUACCUUUACAGAGGACUGCAACAGUUUUCGAUUGUGUAUUGCCUUGAAAUGUAGAGAUAUGAUACUGAUUUACCUUCGAACCACACUAGAAGUAGAGUUGUUCACUUGACUGAACAAAUUGUCACUAAAAGGCUACAUACGCUCAAAACACAUAAAGGGAAGAAAAAUAAACAUGCAAAUACUGCUACGGAGUAGAAGGUUUGCAGGUAACCAUUACGGAAGAAAAUCUUAUGCGACCUGGGUAGCCUGGACCCGUUCCCGCAACUGACGCGUGGCAAAACCAAAUCCCAUUUCCCUUCGUUCCCCCACAUCCCACCCAAAUCCUAAUUCCCAUGGUGGCAGGUAGUCAGUUUCUCCGGCGGGCUGUGCUGCUCCGACAAGAAUCGAGCCUUGACAAGCAACGGCGAGCUGCUACGCAGUGCGUCUUCGACGAAGAGGAGUUGCGGCCGCCCGGGCAAGCAGUGGCGUGUGGGGAUGGACCAUGGCGGACGGUGCUGCAGUGCUGCUCCAGCAAGGAGCGAGUCCUAUGAUGUACUGUCCACUGUAAGACCGUUGUCGCUAAGUCUGAAACUGUCGUUUUUCUUCAGUUAAGUUCAGUAGCAAAUAAGCUGGGCAUGCAGCACGAGGUUGUUCGUGACUUGCCCUAUUCUUCAGGUAGUUAGCUUAGUGCGCCGUCUGACUGCGUCGUGGAAUGGCACGAGCAAAGCGUCAAAGGCGGCAUGAUCUGGGCACGAACGACGCCGUGGGAUGGCGCGGCUGUAGGGCUCGUUCUGCCCUGAUUUUUCAGUUAGAUCGCACAGCUCGUUUUGAGAGUUGGUAUAAGAAGCAAUAGAAGUCGGAUCAGAAAAGAAGCAACCGUUACGCAGCACCAAACCUGUGUUUGCUCUUGUUGAUUCUACUCUCGCGUGUGUGUGUUCUGCAGCUCCGGCAACGUCAAUUGGUAUCAGAGCCCUGAUCAAGUUCUGGUGAUCUACGAUGCCAAAUUCCAAAGGUGAUCGGUCGGUUUCCCGGUCCGUGACUCCGCCGUGUUCACGAACUCUGAGUCGUGGCCGGAGCCGCGGGAGACGACGCGAUGGCCAGGUCGUGGUGCAGCAGGAGGUGGUGCGCGAGGUGAGCGGCUGCGGUGCCGUCACGUAGCCCAUGCUGACGCGCACGAACUACUUGGACUGGGCGAUUCUCAUGCGAGUCCAGCUGCAAGGCGCAGGCCUCUGGGAGGCUGUAGAAGGUGAAGAGACGUUGGCGCGGCAGGAGCGGCAGGCGUUCGGCGCCAUCCUGCGUUCGGUGCCGCCCGAGAUGAUGCGCAUGAUCGCGGCCAAGGACAACGCGCAGGACGCCUGCAACGCGGUUAAGGUGAUGUGCGCCGGCGUAGAGCGCGUCCGUGAGGCGAAGGCCCAGAAGCUGCGCAAGGAGUACGAGAACCUCGCGUUCAAGAGCGGUGAGUCUGUUGAGGACUUUGCACUGCGGCUGUCUGGCCUUGUCACCGAUCUGCAGUAGGUUGGCGACGACAUCACGGAAGAGAAGGCCGUGAAGAAGCUCCUUCGCGUGGUGCCACCGAGAAUCAAACCGGUGGCCGUCGCAAUGGAGUCGUGCCUCGAUCUGAAGCACAUGUCGAUCGAGGAGCUCUCAGGCCGUCUCUCUGCCACUGAGGAUGGGCUCGAUCCAGAGCUAGAAGUGGGCAGCAAACUGCUGCUCACCGAGGAGGAAUGGUCUGUGCGGCAACAGUCACGCGGGCAGGGCUCCAGCAACGUCAGUGGCAAGGGCGGCAAGCCGGCUACAAAGCCGAUGCCGCUAUCACCGGACAAGCCUGCAUGCUUCGGCGAGCGUUGUAAGGGCAAAUGUCGGUACUGCCACAUCGAGGGCCACUAGGCCAAGGAAUGCAGGAAGAAGAAGCGCGAUCAAGUGCGCCAGGAGAACCAAGCGUACGUCGCGCAGGUGGAGGAGCAGGCCCCCGGGCUUCUCCUUGCCAUGGCCGGCAACGGCGACGACGCCAUCGACUUGCAGCUAGCACCCGCGGUGUACGCUGGAGCCAAGCCGGUACCUGCUCCUAUACAACCUGUUCCUGGCGACCUACUUGUCCGCAACUCGAACCUCGACCCGCAGGCAGGGGAGCAGUGCGUGUUCCUCAACGAGAAGCGCUUUGUUCCGGUGCCCACCAACGAUGAGCGCUGGUACUUCGACUCCGGUGCAAGCAAUCAUAUGACCGGGUGCCGCGGGAUGCUGACCAAGAUCGACGAAUCUGUGCGAGGUACGGUGAAAUUCGGUGAUGGCUCACUCGUUCAGAUACAUGGAUGCGGUGUUGUUCUAUUUACCUACAAGAACGGAGAACACCGUGUGCUGACAGAGGUUUAUUACAUACCUCGUCUGCGCACAAGCAUCGUGAGCCUGGGUCAGCUAGAUGAAGGGGGUUGCAAAUCAGUGAUUUGUGAUGGUGAGUUGCGCCUGUAUGAUCGUGAUCGAGCUAUACUAGCUCGUGUCCCAAGGGCCAAGAACCGGUUGUACCCAGUCACUCUGACCAUGGCAACACCUGUCUGUCUGCUUGCCGGACGGACUGACAAAGCAUGGUGUUGGCAUGCCAGGUUUGGUCACUUGCACUUCAGAGCACUCCAUGAUCUGGGAGCCAAGGGUAUGGUUAGAGGUAUGCCCACGGUUCAGCGUAUUGAGCAAUUCUGCGAGGGGUGUUCACUUGGGAAGAUGCACAGGACCCCUUUCCCGCGCGUGUCAGCCUACAGAGCAGAACAGGUGCUUGAGCUGGUGCAUCGAGACUUGUGUGGGCCGAUAUCCCCACCCACAGCAGGUACGAACAGCAAGUACUUCCUGUUAGUAGUUGAUGAUUGCAGCAGAUAUAUGUGGUUGGAAGUGCUGAGGAGCAAAGAUGAGGCUUUCAAAUUCUUUCGCAAGAUCAGGGCAACUGCAGAGAGUGAAAGUGCAGUGAAGCUCAGGGCAUUCCGAACAGAUCGUGGUGGUGAGUUUAACUCCAUUGAAUUCACCGAGUUCUGCAAUGAUCAGGGGAUAAGGAGAAACACCACAGCUCCCUAUUCUCCGCAGCAAAAUGGUGUAGUUGAGAGGCGUAAUCAGUCGGUGGUAGAGAUGGCUCGCAGCUUGAUGAAGAGCAUGUGUGUACCAGCAGAGUUUUGGGGGGAGGCCGUGAGGACUGCCGUGCAUAUUUUGAAUCGCUCACCCACUCGUAGCCUGAAUGGGAUCACAACCUAUGAGGCUUGGAGGAAGAAGAAACGAUCAGUGGACUACUUCCGCACUUUUGGCUGUGUAGCACACAUGAAGAUCAUCGGCCCUGGUCUGACAAAGUUGUCUGACAGAGCACGAGCAUGUGUAUUUGUCGGAUAUGAGUCUGGCUCAAAAGCAUACCGGGUGUAUGAUCCGGUUCAGCGUCGUCUACAUGUGACGAGAGAUGUGAUUUUUGAGGAGGAUCGCAAGUGGGAUUGGGGAACUGACAACUGCACACAUGGCAAGUCGUGUGAAUUUACAGUGGUUUAUUCGGAUGAGUUAGUACGAGUGUCAGUUUCAGCUUCACCUUCUGAAUCUGUUCACUCCAGACAACAGUCCCCUCAAAUUGAUGCAGCCUCGUCAGAGGAACAACCACCAGACGAGCCCGUGACAGUGGAAGAGGAGCAACUUCGGCCCCCUAUCCAACCGUCUCACCCCAUGCAAACCCGAGCAUAGCAUGGGAUUUUCAUGCCAAAUAGAAAGUACGAAGAUUAUUUGGAAUUGGCAGAGUACUGUCUAACAGCUGCAGAGGAACCUGACAGUGUGGAUGCAGCACUGGGUGAAACCGCAUGGCACAAGGCAAUGGAAGCUGAAAUGGCUUCGAUCAAUGAGAACAACACAUGGGUCCUAACUGAACUCCCUGCAGGUCACAAAGCUAUCGGACUCAAGUGGGUGUUCAAGAUUAAGAAAGACGCUGAGGACAAUGUUGUCAAGCACAAAGCCCGGUUGGUUGCAAAAGGCUAUGCUCAAAAACAAGGAGUGGAUUUUGAUGAGGUAUUUGCUCAUGUGGCCAGGAUGGACACUGUUCGUCUGAUGCUUGCUUUGGCAGCAAGUAGGAAGUGGCAGGUGCAUCACAUGGAUGUUAAGUCUGCAUUUCUGAAUGGCAAUUUGAUGGAAGAGGUGUAUGUUCAUCAGUCGGCAGGAUUUGUUGUUAGUGACAGUGUACACAAGGUGCUGAAACUGAACAAGGCCCUGUAUGGUCUGCGUCAGGCUCCCCGAGCCUGGAAUUUCAAGCUUGAUGAAUCUCUUGCAUCACUCGGUUUUGAGAGAUGCCCGAUUGAGCAUGCUCUAUACCGAAGGGGAAAUACUGACAGCUUCUUGUUGGUAGGAGAAUAUGUGGAUGAUCUUAUCAUCACAGGCACGAGCGCAACUGAAAUUAAAGUCUUCAAGGAUCAGAUGCAUGAAUUGUUCCAAAUGAGUGAUUUGGGACUUCUGAGCUACUACCUGGGAAUCGAGGUGAGUCAGAAGGAAGGAGAAAUCACUUUAUGCCAGUCGAGCUAUGUUGCAAAACUGCUAGAAAAUGCAGGUAUGGCAGCCUGUAAUCCAUGUUGUACUCCAAUGGAAGGGAGACUGAAAUUGGGGAGAGUGGAGACAGGAAAGGCAGUGGAUGAAACCAAAUAUCAAAGUGUAAUUGGCAGCCUUCGGUACUUGGUGAAUACUCGACCUGACAUUGCAUACGCAGUUGGGAUUGCAAGCCGAUUCAUGGAGUGUCCCGGGGCACAACAUUGGGCCGCUGUAAAGCAAAUACUUCGCUAUGUGCGGGGAACUCAUGGAUAUGGCUGUAGAUAUACUUGCAGCGAAGUAUCGCCUAAUCUGAUCGGUUACAGCGACAGUGAUCUUGCGGGCGAUGUGGAUGAUCGCAAGAGCACGUCAGGCAUGGUGUUCUUCUUGGGGGGGAGCACAGUUUCUUGGUGCUCGUAGAAGCAAAAAGUGGUGGCACUGUCAUCUUGCGAGGCCGAGUACAUUGCUGCAUCUACAGUUGCUUGUCAGGCAACAUGGUUGAGUAAGCUGCUGGGAGAACUGCAGGGUAUUCCACCUUCGGUUGUGAAGCUGUUCGUGGACAACAAGUCAGCCAUAGCGCUGUCCAAAAAUCCUGUGCAUCAUGACCGGAGUAAGCACAUUGACACUCGCUAUCAUUUUAUUCGAGAGUGCAUUGCAGAAGGGAAGAUUGAUGUGGAUCAUGUUGGGACGGAGGGGCAGCUGGCUGAUAUUCUUACCAAGGCGCUGGGUCGCGUAAAGUUCAUUGAGCUAAGGCGCAAACUGGGCGUAAUCGAAGUCAAGCAGAGACAACAGCAUUAGGGGGGAGAUUUGAUGUACUGUCCACUGUAAGGCCGUUGUCGCUAAGUCUGAAACUGUCGUUUUUCUUCAGUUAAGUUCAGUAGCAAAUAAGCUGGGCAUGCAGCACGAGGUUGUUCGUGACUUGCCAUAUUCUUCAUUCUUCAGGUAGCUAGCUUAGUGUGCCGUCUUGACUGCGUCGUGGGAUGGCACGAGCAAAGCGUCAAAGGCGGCAUGAUGUGGGCACGAGCGACACCGUGGGAUGGCGCGGCUGUAGGACUCGUUCUGCCCUGAUUUUUCUCCUUUCAGUUAGAUCGUACAGCUCGUUUUGAGAGUUGGUAUAAGAAGCAAUAAAAGUCGGAUCAGAAAAAAAGCAACCGUUACGCAGCACCAAACCUGUGUUUGUCUCUUGUUGAUUCUACUCUCGCGUAUGUGUGUUCUGCAGCUCCGGCAACGUCAUCCUAACCAGCGGCGGCGAGCAGCUAGGCGGUGCAUCUCCGACGAGCAGCGGUCCGCGACCGGCGGGGCGAGCAGCAGGACUGCAACCGGCGGAGACGGAAGGAUAUUGGAUUGAGAGCUGCUGAAUUGCGACGGCACGGACAAGGAAUUUGUUCAGCACUCAUGCUGGAGAUGGAGGCAGAACUCAACUGCGGGAGUUGCAAGGGAUGGAGGCAGAAGUGCAGAACUCAACAAUGGGAUUCAAGAUUUGGUUUCAAGUUACAGAUGCUUUGUUUAGAUUGGUAUUGCCACGGUCAGUUGUGGGAGAAGGUCCGGCGUCAGGACGUGUAUUCGGUUUUUCGGCUCGGUUCGGUGUGGUUAAUAUGGUUUGUAUAUUUCGGUUAAUACGGGGUUCGGUUUCGGUUAUAACCAUUUGAUUUCGCUUCGGUUUCGGUCAUAACUAAAAUAACCAAAAUUGACGUGAAUUUUAAAGUUACACAUAAAUUUUAUAAACAUGUUUCAACACAAAAGCAAGUACUUGUUUUGAUUCUACUACUGUUUCAUGCCCGAGAGUGCAUAGAAUCGGCCCAAAACUGCAUCUUUAAAUCCAUACGUGUUCCAAAUCGGUCCAUAUUGUCCUAGAACCGGCCCAAUAGGCCCGAAAAAAUCAAACAAAAAGAAGAGAAGCUAUGAAUCGAACUCUGAACCUCAGCAACACUAAGUUGGUGCAGAAGGUUUAACCGAAAGUCGUUCUGUUUAAACCGAAAUCGAAACGGUUACACAUUUUGAAAACCGGGUAAACCAAAUUUCGGUUCGGGUUCGGUUAUUAUUUUCCGGUUUUCGGUUUCCGGUUCGGUUUUGCACAGGGUGAGUCCAGCGCCUAGGUGGAACGACCCAGGUCGCAUAAGAUUUUCUUCCAACCAUUACUAUCUACUCCCUCCGUCCCGUACUAAGUGAUUUUCUAUUACAUGUAUGUAGACGUUUUUUAGGCAUAUGGGACGAAGGGAGUAAAACAAAAGGUUGCUACGAAUAGAUGAAUUGGGGAGGAGAUGCUGUAGUAUCUGUAAUGCCCCACAGACACAUGCCAAGACUGCCAAAGACGCUAGGUUUGCCGGCGGCUCGGUCUGUCAAGGUUCUACAAAUAGAUGAAUUCAGGAGGAGACGAUGAGCCUGUGGUGACUUCGUCAAUCUCAGAAUAAUCUGCCGGCGACUUGAUCUCUCGAAGGUGUUCAUAAAAGUAGGGUGUCGUCUGUAUUGUGUUUUCUAAAAAAUAAAAAUCCUCGAGCAUAUAUUUUUUUUAACUUUUUUACUUAUACUUUCAGUUUUUUUCGGUUCAUGAAAUUCGUUCCAAGUCUUCGUCGGUUUGAUGCGUACCAGAGUUGUACAUCUUCCUUGAGAAAAUAGCCGAUAAGAACAAGUCCAGUUGCUGCAGCUAGCUUUACCGCCGCGUAAGAUGCAUAGGUUCGAAGAAAUCUUGAAUCACGAGGUUAACAUACGUAGACUACAUGCAUGGCUUGACUACAUGCAUGGCUUCUGCCUAUUCAGACAUGUGAGAAUGAGACUCGCAUAUAUCGUUACGUGAGAUGUGACAUAGAGACGCCUGCGCGUGGAACGUCUGACAAAUAGUUCUUGCUUUAAUCUCUAGUCUGUACGUUUGACGUACGUACACGACUCGUGCAGUUAAUUCAGAAUCUGUGAUUCAUUCCUUUAAUAAAGAAAAGGCCUUUUGCCUCUUGUCUCAUUGAUGUACGCCAAAAAACCAUUUAAACCCAAUUGUAUGUAAAGAGAAUUAAGCAGUAUCCGUACCUUAAUUCCCUUUCUUUUUCUGUUGCUUGGGCGAGAUAAGUAGUACUCCCUCCGAUCCUAAAUUAUUGUCGAAAUAUUACAUGUAUUUAGACGUUUUUUAAGAAUAGAUACAUUCAUAUUUGAGUAAAUUUGAGUUAAGAAUUUAAAAUCAGAGGAAUAAGUAGUGGUAUUCGGUUUGUAGGAUUUCACAGACAAUACUAUGAAGGAUUGAGAAUUGCUUAGGAAACUUCCUCGUAUAUGCAUUCGUUUUGUAGAAAAGUGACAAAAUGAUUCCGUAGGAAUAUUAUUGGUUUCUAUGUCUUUUGAGGAAAAUGAACAUUAGAUCACCCCUUUUUUUCAUAGAAAUGAAGCUUUCAAUUUUUUUCCUAUGUUUUGCUUUUCUUUAAACCGAAUGAGCCCGUAUAUACAGCCUGAGAAUAUAUUUUUCUGACUUUUGACUGAUCGCUCCGUCCAAAACGUCUUCUUCUUUCACGCACCGCAAUAACAUCGUACUUGCCAACGUCAGCUUGUGCAAAAAUAGCAUAUUUCGAAGUACUAUUUGUUUUAAGAAAAAAAUAUAGGAUGCAUGUAGAUAAUGGGUAUAGACUUAUUCUAGACACAAAAAGGAACCCACAAAACUAGAGUUCUCACGCCAUUGCUUCUAGAUAGAUCGUUGCAUGGACAACCCCUGGAGAUCCACGGAUGGUCAACGCCGAAGGCCACGUCGAGACCCUGCAUCACUCACCACCAUUGUCAUUGCAACAUAGAUCGCAAUACGACCACAAGUUUCCUUCGAACACCAGUCUCUCUAGUCAACGCUAGUUCUAAAGACGAUGCCUCCAACAAGAGAACAACGACAAGCACCACCAUCGUCCAGUCCAAGAAAACCUGAAGCUAGGAUUUCCCCGAGAGCUUGCCUUGGGGAUGGGUGCAAAGGGCCACAACAACGCCUUGAAGAAGAUGAUGGCGCCCAAAGACGUCACCGGUGUAGACUCUAGUAACUAAGGGCAAGUCCACGGGGCGACCCAAACAGACCGCUUUUUGUGUCCGUUUGGGUCGUGGGCCGUACAGAAUUCGCUCCACUGCCCGGCCUUCGUCCGUUUGGGUUGCCCACCACUCCAGCGGUGCGACCCAAACGAUGCGACCCAUAUUUGGCGCCCAAAUUCAAAAACCUCCCCUGUUCAUGGCCAGACUCCCCGCCGGCAAGGAUUGAGGCCAAAUCGACGGCAAUUUAAGAUAGGAAAAAUACAAAUUAGUGUCCAGGCCUCGUCGGCAUACAUAGCAAGCAUAGUUUCAUACACAAAAUGCAACAGAGUUGGCCACGUAUCAUUCCUCCGAGGGCGCGGGCGCAUCGCAUUCUUAUAUCAUCUUCCUCUUGGCCAAGAACCAAGCUCGCGUCGGUUCGUCCAUGAGGCUCAAGUCCGCCGUCAUGAUCCUUGUCUCCUCAGCAAGCAUAGCGGCCGCGGCUGCAGUUCUGGUCGUCGCCGCAUUGGCCUCCUCGAUAGCGAGCUUCCUCUUUUGCACGUCGAUGAAUUCCUUCAUUUGCUCCUCCUUUAGUUGAAGCCGUGUCGGGCGAUUCCGACGAUGGCCUGGAAGUCGGCGUCGUCGGCUGGGGCAGCGGUGGGCGGCUCACUACACUAGACUCCGUGCUCGCCGCCGUCGCCAGCAAGCUGUCGGGCGGCAAUGUACCAUGGCCUCGGCCUGCCGUCCUUGGGCAAGGGUGGCUUCCUUGAGGCACCGCUCCCUUUCGUCCUCAAGCUCCCGCUCUUUGGCGGCAGCUUGCCCCGCAUCCCUUGCUAGCUUACGCACCCGUCGUUGCCCCCUCUUCUGGGUCUCGAUGGCCCUAGCCUCCGGGGUCAUCUCCUUCUUCGGUUUCCUAGGUCGAGUGAGGGCGGGGGGAGCAGUUGGGUCUAGGGCUGCCACGGCUGCGACGAGGGCGGCUUGCUCGAGGAUGGCGCCGACGAGAAGGGCGGGAUUUCUGGCUGCCAUGGGAGGAGAGCGUGCGGGAGGUAGUGGGGAAGAAAGGGGGGCAAAUGAAAUUUGAGAUUUCAGAUUGGGUACGCAGACGGGGGGGGGCAGAGGUGUAUCGAGGACGGACGAGCGAAGCUCCGUUCCUCAUCCGCACGCGACGCAUUCGAUCCGGGGGGAAAUCCGGACGCCCGCCCAAAUACGUCGCCCCGCUGGACCACAGUUUCGGUCCGUUUCCCGCAAACGGACCGUCCCGGCCCAAAUGGGUCGCCCCGCUGGAGGUGACCUAACUUUUCCAUUAUGUAUCUCCACUAUAAGCCCGCCCAAGUGCACCGCACAAGCCCAUUGCUACCGCCGCUGGGGCACCGGAGCUCCUUUCUCCCGCCUUGCAAACCCUGUCUAUCACAUUUGAAUUAUCCGAGAUGCCCCUAUAGACAUUUAUGAGGGAGUAAGAUUCAUCAAUCUGUUGGAUUGAUAAAACAAUAUACACUCAUUUCACUCGCUGGUCAAAUCAUCUACAAUGGCAGCUUCAGCCUCUUCAAUCCUGGAGGGAAGCAGUGGUUCAAAUUGGACAGAAUGUCGAUCCGUGCCCAGCAACUUAAGAAACUCAUCCUCACACAAUAUUUUCGGUGCUUUGGACUUCUCCAUAAGAAGAAUGCCCUCUGCUAGCCUUUCGUCCUCGUUGACUCCUGACAGAUGGAUGCUAGAAAUCAGGUCUGACUUUUGCAGACUAUCUCUAGCUUGCAGAGCAGCACAGUUUGUGAUGAACUUCUCUGUGGCGCUUAUCUUCAUAUUCUGAGUCGUCGGAAUGGACACGGUUUCGUUGUUAGCUGGGUAAUAGCAUGACAUCCCCAAUUCAGAUUCAAUCCUGUCCUUCAAAAAGGCCAUCUGAGGCUUUUCUCCAUGAACAAGAAUCACAUGGUUGGGUGAAAGAAAUUCUGUAAGAUCCAUGAUCCCCUUGGAGUCUGUGUGAGGACUGAAUGACAGCUGAUGGAUCUGAUGCACAAAGAGAACAGUAUGAGAAGAUAAGCAAAAUAAUAUAAAAAAGAGGAUGGAUAUACAAAAACAGAGGAAACAAGAAUUACAAAAGCUAACUAACCAUUUUUUUUAAAAGUGUAAGACAACCCAAGUGUGUGUGUAGAUAAAAGGCUACCGUCCUCGGACUUAGUUUUUACCAUGUAGAGCCAAUUUGUUUAACAGCUAGUAACUGCAGAAGUUAUGGAAUUGACAGUUCUUGCUAAAUGAUAAUCAGAGGUGACCCACUGAACUUCUAAGGAAGAUCCGGACUUUUUAAGGAUACAAUAAAUAGCUCAGAAGACAGACUAGUGGUGAGUAAUGGCACAAGAUAAUAUCCAUUUCCUGGCAGUUUUCUACAGAGAACACGCCAUAACCACUGAACUACCAAUUGUACAAGGACAACUUCUUGAAACUUCCUCCAUUCUAGUUCUUGUGUUCUUAUAAUUAUAAACUGCAUUUUACAGUACAGAGUGAGAGAACUGUAAAAUGAACGAAGAGCAACCUGACAUCUGACAUCAACAUGGGUAUCCUUGUCAAUAUCAAUCCUAGUAGGUUUUCCAGACAUCAACUUAUGUCCAAUGGUUCCAGCAACACAAUAUCUGCAUGUGGAUAAUAAAGGUGACAUCAAAACAACUAUCACAGCUCAAAUAUCUAUAUUCAUACCAAUAUAAAAGGCAGAGCCAGCUGUACCCAAAAAAAAUUGGAGACCUGGCGCAAAGUAUAAAAUUAGGCCCCAAGUAUAACAAAAACCAGUUAUGAACCCUAUCACGUGCUCCCAUUCUAUUUUCUGAUAUAUGUUAUUUUCAGCGGUGAGUGAAUAACCCAUUUAUUGUUGUUUCGGAAAAAAUGUAUGAAGACAAAAAAAAUUAUGUAUCAUCUGGACUUUUGAUAAUACAAUUGUUUGAGGAAUGACAUCUUAUCAAAAAAGAAAAUCUUGGAACACUGAGGUACUAUUUCUUUUAGCAAAAAAGUGUCAUAGUUCUACCAUUCCUCGAUGCAAAAUCUUCCAUUUAUUGUUCAUGACCAACCAUCUCCAAAACAAUCAUUUACAAUGGCUACUGUAACAGUUCACUGAGUCUUUUUUGCAUCGCUACAGAAUGCAAUUAGGACUUCAACACGUUGCAAAAAAAAUAAAAAUAGGACUUCAACAAUUUCAGUUUAGAAAAACAAAAAUCAGCUGAUGCACUGGUCGCUAGAAUAGUCAACAAAUUCUACAUGCAACAGUUACAUUAGGAAGACAAUAUGAUCAUUUAAAAAAACAUCAACCCUGGAGUAAUUUUAACUUUACAACAGUGUCGGAACUUCACAUUCUUAAGUGCAGCCGCAAGGCAAUUGGAGAAGACUUAAACUGAUGUCUUCUGGUUAGAAUGAAGAGGAAAGGUACAGAGAGAAAUGGAAGUUAACAAGGCAUGCUUCAUGUGGAACCCAGCACUUAACUAGCUGAGUGUCCCAUGCAUUGCCACAGUAUUUACAAAUUAUUUAUGUUCAAAAUUUAAACUGAUAAUUAUUCUCUUAAUUGUUUUUUUUCUUAGAGCAUCUUGAUUGUUGUCUUAAGUGUUCGCUGCCAGUUUUGGGCUAGACCAGUUAACUUUGCAUGCGGUGAGCAAGCAUUUUUAUCGGCUGCUGGCUUCCUAGUUUGUUGUCGAUCAUGGGAUAGGCCAAUUAAUAAUUAUGUGUGCGGUGGUGGUGGAUAGACGGAGCCCAAAUGCAAAUUAAUAGGUACUCCCUCCGUCCCAUAAUAUGAGGCAUGCACGCAUCCCUAGAUCCUCAAUUUGAUUAAUUAAAUAUGUAUGUUUCUUAACAAAAAGUACACCAUUAGACUCGUUAUCGAAAAAACUUUCUAAUGAUAUAAUUUUUUACUUAUUUAUUAAUUUAUUUAGUUAGCUAAAUUGAUGAUCUAGGGAUGCGUGCGUACCUCAUAUUAUGGGACGGAGGGAGUAGCAUAAUAAGCCUAACUCGUUGCGGUCUUGGGCCAGACCCAUUACUUUUGUUGCUAUGGUGGUAGAGAGUCGUGGAUGAACGGACACAUGGACACCAACUGUAAAUUAAUAGGUACUCCCUCCAAUCCUAAAUUAUUGUCGAAAUAUUACAUGUAUCUAGACGCUUUUUAAGAAUAGAUACAUCCAUAUUUGGGCAAAUUUGAGUCAAGAAUUUAGCAUCAGAGGGAUUAUUAUAUAGAUAAUCACAAUGGGAAUCCUGCUGAUUUGGAGGCCCUUUGCAGACGCGCACGCUGCACAGGUUUCCCAGGCCUGAUAAAAGGUUAAAGGUAUGAGUUAGUCUGAUACUUUUCAACGCAACUGUCUGAAAUAUUUAUUCCAGUAAUCUAAAAAAAAUCAUGAUUUUUAUCCAAUGGCUGCGCACAAAGUUAGAAACCCCUAAUCACUCAUACUAGUUACAUUAUUAACCCCCUUAAUAACCCAUGUUUCAUCUCUGCCUUUCAUUUCAUACCAACCCCAUUCCCCAGGUGCACAUCUUUGUAUCCCGCAGCAUCAAUUCAUAUGGCACCUGGUUAUGCUCUUUCAUCCUUUUGUUGAAAUGCUACCAAUCUCAAGAACUACACGGGUCAGUAAAAGAUUCAGAAGGUUCACCUUCAAGGUUCAGAUGCCAAUUUCGCUGGUUAAUAAUUGAUUUACUUGCAGGUUUAAUGCUUUCAUUGCACCAUAAACAUGUGUGUGCAUCUUAAUUACACUUGUCAACUCGCACAUUGUGCAUACACAUUUGCUAGUUUUGAAACAAGCAGAAAGGUUUUCCCUAUUUGACUUCUUUCUGUAAAUGAUGAAGAAAAAUAGAUUUUGAACAAAAACUGAAGCAGAAAAAUGUGAACAGAAAGACACCAUGUGAAAGCAUUCAGUAAAAGAGAACACAGGAUAGACUUCUGCUGUAACAACCGAACAUCAGUGAUUUGUUCAGAAGUACUACGCAACAUGGAAAACACAAGAAAUUCUAAGGGUUCAGAGGAAUACCCUGGUAGUGUCACCAAAUUUUUGUCUGAUGUAGCCCACCUCUUAAACACCUCAAGAGAAAAUCCACCACUGAUCAUACCAGGUGUUGCAAAAAGUACACAUGGUCCAGGAUCGUUAAUGAAUGAACGCUCAAAAUGGCAAACUGCAAUGUGACAAAACCUUCAGUGUUGUUCUGAUAUAGGAUUUGCAAAUAAAUUAUAAUCAAAUAUUUCUGUUUAAGACAGAGUUGCACAUAAGAGUUGGAUGCCGAAAGUUUUUCUUCAACCUUCACUAAAAAAAGCAAAGUAGUGAACAAACGGACAUAACAACCAGUAGAUACUGCCGUAGUUUUUUAUAUAAAUGCAAAAAAUUGAAGUGCAAGCCGACUAAAUGGCUUAACUGCAAAUUUCAUUAUUUUUUUUGCUCAAUGAAAUGGGCUUUAUCUUCAUUUUUCUUAUGAUUCGACUUAUGAGCUUUUUCAGCAUACCAUGCUUGAAGUCAAAUGGGUUUUGAACUGUGUAGCUGUCCUUGAUCUUUUGGCUAGUCCAUCCAAUAAGCAUCUUGUAGUACAUGUUAGCUUGAAUGGUUAAACCUAUAGAACAAAUAUAUUCUCAAACAAAGCAGACAAUUACAUGAACGCAAGUUAAAGUUUGACCAAAAAACACAUACCAGCUGAAAAAUAAAUAGGAAUCUUCAAGUUCAUCCUUUCCCAAUAGUCAUCGAGUAAUAUGCAUAGCUCCUGAAAUCGAUAAGAGCAGUGUGUAAACUAGAAUUCUAUUUAUGGAAGUACGGGAUAGUGCGCUCCCAGGUAUACCUUCUUCCGAAGGAAACCUAUUCAUUCAAGUAUAGUGCUAAUAGUUCACUGUAAAUGGCAUUAUCAGUAAAGUAGAUUUAUUUAUUUUAAACUGAGGCCCACGUGUCAUUCUUUCCUGGGAAACUUGGGUGGCACCCGAAACCCUAGCCGCUGGGUGAAGCUUACACGCUAGAUGGAGGCGUCAUGGCUGUCUCUGGUUUGUGGUCUGCUCGGACUGUUUCGUAUGUGCGGCUUGAUGGCAGCCAACCAAGUUCUUGGGCUAGCACAGUUGCAGGCAGUGCUAGGCUUUUGCCGCUCUGUCGGUGCAAGGUUGCUGAGGUUGUGUGAGUGGUGUUCGGGAUGCUCCAGGUGAAUGCCCUGGACGAACUUGAUCAGUGCCAGCGACAAAAGUGCCCUCAGGCUCGUUUCCCUUUAUGGCGUCAGAGGAGUGUCGAUUCACCUGCAUCCCUUGUGAUCUAGUUCUCGUGGUGAAAACCCAGAUCUGGCUUGCCGGAUCAGAUGACAGGAGCAGCGUUGACGUCACUCCCUCAUGGAAGGCCUUGUUCUUGGUGUCCUGACCCUCAGUUGGCACAGGGGCAGGCAGCACACACCUUGGCGGGCAAAUCCUUAGUGUGCCUGCAUCGCGCUUGUGCAGCUACCUAGGGUGCCACGGGUAGCGGUUUGUGGAGGAUCCCAUGUUGCUGUGUCUUGGUCGCAUGUGGCACUCGAGGGGUAUCAGCUGAUGGCUGUGAGCAUAUGUUUCUCUCGUGAGUGUGACAGUGUGUGGUGGUCAACAUUUAAGGGUUAAGGCACGAGCGGAGGUUGGCCCUU